Molecule: long non-coding RNA, 906 nt
Organism: Misgurnus anguillicaudatus (oriental weatherfish)
Lineage: Eukaryota; Metazoa; Chordata; Actinopteri; Cypriniformes; Cobitidae
Source: RefSeq, a predicted model, not a curated record
GUUUUAUGCACCGUCGCACAUAGCCACUAUUUAGCUCAUAAAUAGACCGACUACGAACAAACCAUGUUUAGCCCAGAAUAACCUUGAAUUUAAUAAAAUGUUGUUUUUGCCAAAAUAACUUGCAAGAUGUAUGAUAUUUCAUCAGGCAUGCAAAGACACCAGUGAAUUCAAGAUGUUUGGUUUUAUUUAUCUUAUCUGAAUAUCUGCUGUCACGCAUAACAUUCAUUAUUGAUAUACAAAAUCCAGUUACAACUCCGAACCGCUAGAUGGCAGCUGCAGUACACAAACACGAGGCCAAAUCUCACGAGAAAGAUUUCCGCUGUUUGAAAAUCAACAACAACCAGCGAGCAGCCAAGGGGAAAGCAAUCUUCCACACUCGUUUGGUCUUGCGUCAAAGCUGUGUGAAACUGGAUGGAAAAACUUGAGAGACCGUGCCGGAAGAAUGCUGGACAGAGUUCCAUAAAAUUCAUUAAUUUCAAAGUUCAACAUGAAUGGUGGUAGUCCACUGCAGAAGCAAGCAUUUGAAAAAACAUCAGUUCUCAGUUAUUAAAGAUGCUGUGUUGAACAACUUCCCAGCAGCAACAGAACUGGAAGUGAAGGAUGCAAUGGGGGCAUUUCAAACAGGCACCGGGGGGGGGGGGGGGGGGUAUAGAAAUUAGUACAAUUAAUAAGUUGAAGUGAACUGAAGAUAAGUUUGUUAAUGUUUAGAUGUUAUUUCAUUUUUUAAAUUUUAUUUUGUUAUUUAUGCUUUUAUUUUGUUACUGUUUUUAUUCUUUUUGUUAAAAGUAGUUUUUCAUUUUGUCUUAUCUGAAUUUCUAUUGUAUUAACAAUAUUUCUUGUAAUAAAUUGCAUGAUUACAUGUUUAUGAGAACCUUUUUUAAUGGAUUAAAAAUAAUUCUUUAGCCA